This 93-nucleotide ribosomal RNA is filed under the name uncultured bacterium. Its description in RNAcentral is "partial 16S ribosomal RNA". It matches the Rfam family "Bacterial small subunit ribosomal RNA", at positions 1390 to 1482 of the family's 1533-position model. The record is from RNAcentral.
CCGCCCGUCACACCACGAAAGUCAAUUGCACCAGAAAUCGCUGUGCUAACCGUAAGGAGGCAGGCGCUCAAGGUGCGGUCGAUGAUUGGGGUG